This 762-nucleotide long non-coding RNA is filed under the name Phoenix dactylifera (date palm). RNAcentral describes it as "long non-coding RNA (PDAC_LNC011873)". Lineage: Eukaryota; Viridiplantae; Streptophyta; Magnoliopsida; Arecales; Arecaceae. The record is from RNAcentral.
GUUUGCACCCCUAAUCCAUUCGGAGACAGACUUAUGAAUAGACUCGAGAUGCACUUGUCUCUUUGAAGAACAAUUUAACAAUAUUGAAAGCACGCACCAUCUUGGAAAGGCGAUCCACAAGAACAAAAACAGGAUCCAAUCCCUCUGUGUUCUUCUGGCAAUUCCAAGAACACAAUCUACAUCAUGCUUCAUCUUGGACCAAGAGUAGCCACUGUAGACCUAAGCAAAUAUUUAGUCCUUGCCGAAGUGACCUUGUCCAUGGAGCCCCUCAAUGAUCUUCUCCCUCAAUGAGCAGUCUGGAAUGCAAAGCUGGACUCCUCUAAAUAUAUGACCAUCUUUUACUUUGUAGUCAAGGCCUCUUGCAAGACUACACUUCAGCCAUCAAGCUCUUUAAACACCUGGUCCUUUGCAUAUGGAUCUCUGAAAGAGUCCAAACCAAUCGCUCGGACCUUCAUGACAGUAAGCAGUCAUCCCCUCCUACUAGAAGCAUCAACUACCCAAUUUAAAGAUCCUAACCUAUGCUUUGGAGGUGGUACUCCUGCAGACAGAAAAUUCACCUAACUCACACACCGAUUACCCAGCAUAUCCUUCCCUUGAACAUUCCUCAAAGUCUCCUGAUCGAUGAGUAGAAUAAACACUUGAUGUUAAAGCCUCUAAUGCCAGAGAGCUUGAACAACCACAUAAAAUUAAGCAUCAUGAGUAGGUGAAUAUAGCUUCUCAAUGAAGAAUGUUAUGUGCCUUCCUUCUUGACUGAGAAUAUAU